CACUGUUCCUCGUAUGAAGGGUGCUCUCAGGGUUGGAUGAGUGAAAGCUCAUGUGAUCUGGUUUCCUGCCUGGGCUGAGUCUCCUGGAGCUCAUCUCAGCACCACACCUCCCCCAAGGAUGCUGUGCUGUGUGAGAGCAGUCCGUGUGAAGCUGCCCCUAGAGUCCAGCACGGCCACAGAUUCUAGAGACUGUGAAGGGGCCGCUGGCUUUCUUUACACAUUUGCUCUAGCAGCCCUGCUGACCUGAUCUCCUGGGACUGACCAGACCUAGGUCAGAGACUCAGAGCAGUAGGACCCGAGCCUCUCCACGUGACUGCUGCCCUCAGAUGCCAGAUGAGUACAUGGCGGAUAAUGAAGAUUCAGAGACAGUGAGCAAGAAUACUGAGAUGUCAGACAAUUCUCUAAUCAGCUCUUUGGAGAAUGGCAAAAAUGUCAUCAGUGAUGAUGUAAAAGACCAGCAGGAGCAAGUGGGAACGUGGGGCCUGAGUUGAAAAGAUACUUAAUCCGACUGGAUCCACUGGCUUACCUACCCAACAGUGAACCCAGUCGAAAAAGCAGCAUCUGCAACACCAUGGUUCAGGACUCUCAAGAGGAAACUCAGCUUUGAUAAAAAGAAAAUAAUAAACUGUUUGUUUUUUUUUUUUCCCCCUCCAAGGAUGUUGCUUGAAACAACUUUAGAUCUUAGGAAAGAAAAAGCAUUGCUGGCAUGAACUAAACUAGGUUGGAAUAUAUCCAAUUCUCUCAUAUUUAAAAAAAUCUAUUCUCCUGGAAGUAUAGAGUAUUUUGAAACUUGAAGUACUGCUUGUUGGUCCUCCUCCUAUGAAUAUCAGAAAGACAUCAAUGAAAUGGUUUUGAAAACCUAAAUCAGAACACAAAAAUUUAAACCUGAUGUUCCUUGUUUGACAAUGAUGCAAACUGUAGAAGCCAGUUUUUUUAAAAGUAUUAAGGCUUUAUGAAAGUAAACUAGAAAUCUAACUAUAUUUGGUGCAUCCCAGUGGAUGUAGAAGAUGGUUGCUCCUCUUAAAGUUAAAUGUGUCCCAUUACAUUGCUGUUCUAUAAACAGCUCAUCAUACCGUGUCUAGUCUUCUCUACACAGAUAAACAAAUUCAUGUGGCGGACUUCUGCAUAAGAAUCAUAGUUUGCUUUAGAAUAUGAAUCCUUCAGUCAUUUUAACCUUUUUGUUGCCUUUUCAUAUGAUAUGAUAUCCAUUUUAGAAUUUGCCAUGUUGAAACAUGUUUUAUUACUCUGAAGAAAUCAAAACAAACAAAAAUAAAUAUUAACUACAUGAAAUUUUCCCUAAUUUUAUGUUUGACACACAUUGUAUGCCAAGAAAAGUAUAAAAGCAAAUAUGUAUCGUUCUCCUAACAUAUUGUUCUCCUAAGAAAACACCUAACAUAGGGAAAAUACUUGAAACACAUUUGUCGAUUUAAGUUUACUCCAAGAAUUGAAACUGA
This 1454-nucleotide long non-coding RNA is filed under the name Capra hircus (goat). RNAcentral describes it as "lncRNA (ENSCHIG00000000813.1)". The record is from RNAcentral. Lineage: Eukaryota; Metazoa; Chordata; Mammalia; Artiodactyla; Bovidae.